AAAACAAAAGAAUUCACACAAGGAGACCAAAGAAAAAUAAGCAAAGAAAAAUAAGUUUGUUGUCUAUAUCCUAUUGACCCGCCCCAUUUAAGUUCAAAAAAUCUAACAAGAAACAUAAAAAGAAAAUAAGGAGAAAAGGGAAAGUUCAAAGACUUUCCAAAGUUUAGAAAAGGAAGGUGGGGCUCGGAUGUCUGUGGAAGCUUCUAGAGGUCGACUAACGGCAACAACCGGAGACGAUGACCUGAGCUGCACGUAGGUGUAUUCCACCUGCAUAUCCUCACUGCAAGCUAUCUUCAUCACCCAUUUAUAAGUCGCUAUCCUUAGAACUGAAUAGCUUUCCCAUUUUAUCAACUUCAGCUAAUUUUUUUUUCCUCUCACAAUUUUGGUUGAUGCCAUUCCACAACCUCACGCUCUCACCAGGCGCCGUGGGAUCGAAUAACCAAGAAAAUUAUUUCCAUCGUUGGGAUUAAGACCACUUAAAGUUGAUUUGCAGGUAUAAAUUGGCUUUUUUCUUUCGAAUCUCGACUCGACUAUUAAUCUUUUUACCUACACUUCUAUAUUUGAAAUCCCGCAGGUUGAAUUUCUAAUGAAAUUAAUAUCGUUGCGUGAAUUUUAUCUAUAUUAGUGUAUUUUAUAAGGUUAAUAAUUUGACUUUCUAUGGAUCUUGUCGGUCUUUAUCUGCAAAUUGUGUUGUGCAACAUGUUUAUUGUGCCAUCUCCGAGUUGAUGGUAAUGUUUAUUGUUCCUUGUCUGAUCUAGUCUGACUCUCUAGCAACGGUGGUACUGAACCUUAAGUUUGGUAACCUUAAUUUGUCAUCAUUUAUUAUUCUCUGAGCAUGUGUUGGUAAUUCCUGAAAGUUAUUAAACUGCGCAAUACCUGCAAAAUCAAAAACAUAGUUAGUGAUAAAAUCAGCCAGUUGAUUUUCCUCUCUAGCUAUGUGUUGAAGGUGACAUACUCCUUUAGAUCUCCAAAUUAAUCUUGUCCACAUACAUUACAAUAUUCCAAGAAACCCUUUAAUCUCCAUCCAAAAUUUCUUUAUCACGAGACUAUCAGUUUCAAUGAUUACAUGUGAUAGACUAUUCCUAAUACAAUGUUCUAUUCCCUAUAAAAUGGCUCUUCAUUUUGCACGCUUGUAGUAUCAGGAAUAACUUCAUCUUUAGCAUAUAUCAAAUCUCCAUCCUUAUUCCUGAUAGUGAAAGCAUAGGAACUAUCACUAAGGUUGCCUCUUGAAGCACCAUUCGUAUUAUAUUUGAACAAUCCAUAAUCAGGUGGUGUCCAUCGAACUACCUUGCAAAUCACAUUAGGCCUCUAUCUCUCCAAAAAUUCUAUCAUCUCUGGCCAAGUGUGUGGAAUAUUCUUCAUCCAUGGAUAUAUUUUUUUGUCCACCCAAUUAAGAUUCAGAUUAAUUUCCUAAAUCACUUUAUGCUUAGACAAUUCUCUGCCAUAGUAAUAAAGUUCCUCCACUUCCAUAUUUGCCAUAGAAUCAUAGCUGGAGUAGCCUGAUAUAGAGGCCUGAGUUUAGACACAGUCAUGAUUCCACCACUUCAAAAUAGAUUGUUUAACUUUGACAAAUGGUCCAUGAAUACCUGCAGCAGUAGUAAAGUAUAACCAGAUUUUCCUACCAAAGGUACAUGUUAUGAGCAGAUGAGUAAUGGUUUCUUGUUGUGGGUGUAUGCAACUUCUGCACCUUGAAACCAUUGGUAUUUCAUAUCUUGCUACCACCUCAUCAAUAGGUAUCUUUCAAUUUCAGACCUUCUACAAGAAAAAAGAAAAUCUUGAAAGGUAAUUCCUGCAUCCAUAAUUUGACAAUGUUUUCAUCUUUCUGCUUCUUAUGUCUCAGUAAUUCCGAUGCACUUUUCACAAAAAAUCUCCCAUUGCUAUUAUCCAUCCACCAAUGUCUGUCCCAUAACUCAAAUCUUUCAAAAAUCUUAAUUUUUGUAUCCACAUGUUCUACAAUGUCACGAGGUAUGUGUUGAUACAUUAAAUUUUGAUUUCACUGCCUAUUGCCUAUGAAUAUGCGAUGAACACCCAGUUUUAACCUUACUCUGAUACCACUUGUUAGGACCGAAAUAAUCAGGUUUCCGCAUGCGGAAGCUAGCAAAGAAAAUCUUGAAAGACCAUGAAUAAGAAGAUAAAUGAGAAAUACACCAAAAGAGACAUAAAAAUUCAAUGUGGUUAGGUCAAUCGACAUACAUUCACAAAAGGAGAUGAGCAAUCCACUCUAUAAGAGAGUACAAACUGUCAAGAGAGACAACCUUACAUAAUUCACUCACAAUAAAAGAGGUUCACACAAGUGAUACUGCAACCUUUGUGUCUCACAAAGUCUCUCCCCAAAUGAAACUCUCACACCCCUAGGACUACAUUGUGGAUACUAUCAAACUAGAUGAAAGGAGCCUCCAUUAUAGAGUAUACAAUCUUUUCCUAUACGAACAAGGAUUAGACAAAUAAGGAGAAUAUGUUUUCCUUUUUCUAAAGAAAAAUUCAAUUAUGGUAACAAAGUCAGGACAAACACCAACAGAGUUUAAUGGAGUAACAAGAUUUGAAGUUCUAGAUGGAUAUAAACAACACACUGUGUGUUUGAGAAAAAGGGCGUGCAGUUGUAGAUCUUGGAUGUUGAAGGGGAUACCUUGUCCAAAUGCUUUAGCUACCAUGUUUCAUAAGUAGUGUAACCCACUUUAUUUCUUGAUCCAUGCUACUCUAAAGAGAGAUACAUGUCCACUUACUCACAUUUCAUGCAAUCUAUGAAUAACAUGCCAAUAUGGCAUGUAUCUAGAAACUCAUUUGUUGCUCCAUCAGUGAUAAAGAAAACACCAAGCAAGCCAAAAAAGUUAAGAAGAAACAAAAGUCGAUGAAAUCAAGAAGUCUAGAAAAAUCCCUAGAACUGGAGUUACUAUGACAUGUAGCCAAGUCAAUGUUAAGGGUCACCAAAAAAAGAGGUUGUCCUAUGCUAAAGACUGGUGGAGAUGGUGCUACUCCAAAAGUAGCAAGUGCUGCAGAACUAUCAAACACAAUAAAGGGAAUGGGCAGACCAAAGAAACAAACAAAUAAUGAAGCUGAACCUGCUGCAAAGAAAGGGAGAGAAAGACCUAGAAAAGCUUUAGAUCAGUGUAUUGCAUCUGUACCACCUUCUUCUAACAAAAGAUCAAGUGCAUCUGUUGCUUUUAAUUUUGCACCACCAUCAACAAAUGAUGGUGCUCCUACUGAAGCAAGAACAACACCUACUAAUCAUGGUGCUACUGAUUUUGCAUCAGCACCAAACUCUAGAGAGAGCAACACUUUCUAAUCCUUCUGCAGCACUAGAAAUCCCUUCAAGGAGUGCUGGAAUGUCAUCAAGAACUAGAAGUGCUAGAGGAAGGGGUAGAGGAAGUGGUAAUGCAACAAGAGGUGCUCCUCAUCCACUUGAAAGUUGAUUUACAUGUUCUCAAGGAAGUACAACACAUGAUGCUACAAAUAUUGCACCAAGAGAUAUUGUUGCUGCUACUAUAGGAAUGGAAAAGAGUGUCGGGAACGCAACUCAAUAUAAUAGACCAAGACUGAAUCGAAUGGGUGUGUUUCAAGAUGCAAAUGGCUUCAAAAUCGUUAAUGUAAAUGAUACAUUCAUAGGGCUUGCGUUCUUUGCUUAUAAUGACUUAAACUUAUACCAGUGUUUUUAUAGCCUAGGCUGCCAAGUAGGAACAUAGUAACUACUAAACGUAAGCAAAUAAUAAAAUCAACAGUUAUGUCUGGAGAUAUUGGGUUCAAACCUUUAAGUGGACUGAAGUGGAAAGGCAAGCAAGCAGUCACAAUAAAAAGGCACCAACAGAUUAGAGGUAAAUCAAAGCCUUCAAAUAAUGCAACCAUGCAUAACUCAUCCUCUUCACAACUUGGAGACCUUUGGAAGCUAUAUAGUCUUGUGUUGGUUACUGUUUUGGUGUCACUUAGAUACUAUAUUUGUUGUAUGUAAUAAAGAAGUUGCUGUUUUGGUGCCACAAAGAUACAUGAUGUUUUGGUAUCAUUAUUUUUGGCAUGGAGCUGUUAAGCUGCUA
This is a long non-coding RNA of Capsicum annuum, 4025 nucleotides long. RefSeq lists it as uncharacterized. NCBI's taxonomy places the organism in Eukaryota, Viridiplantae, Streptophyta, Magnoliopsida, Solanales, Solanaceae. The transcript is spliced from 2 exons. The record is from RefSeq and is a predicted model, not a curated record.